UUUUUUUGUUUCGUAACAAAGUUUCCGUAGGUGAACCUGCGG
Molecule: ribosomal RNA, 42 nt
Filed under: Mortierella alpina
Lineage: Eukaryota; Fungi; Mortierellomycota; Mortierellomycetes; Mortierellales; Mortierellaceae
Description: partial 18S ribosomal RNA
Source: RNAcentral